CUCAGAAUGGACACAGUUGUGGAGUUGCUGAUAGGCAAAGUAGCAGAAAGUGUGGAAGAAAACGCGAGCCUGAUUCUUGGGAUCAAAGAUGAGGUGGAAGAUCUGCUGAGCGAACUGAGGUCUUUCAAGGCAUAUCUCACUGAAGCAUCCAAGAACAACGAGAGCUGUAAUGGCAACGCUGUUCUCAGAAACGUGGUGCAGAAGAUUCAGAAAGUAAUAAUCGAUGCUGAAGAUGCCAUUGAUAAAUACCUUGUUGAGCGAAGGAACCACAGAACCAGACCGGUCCUCAAGAGAUGGGCGGAAAGAUUAUGUUAUUAUACCAAGGUUAUUGAUGCUGCCAAGGAGAUCGAGAGCAUUAAGAAAAGGGCGGAGAAAAUCCGUCUAGAUCAUGUCCAUUCCCUCAACAUACUCCAAGCCGGUUCAACAAAUAAUCCUCACCCCGCGGUUCUCCAGGCUCCUGUGGUGGAAGAGGAUGAAGUGAUAGGGUUUGAUACAGAGGCUAAAAUUAUAAAUGAUCGUCUUACUGAAAAGUUAAAUGAUACAAUGGUCAUUUCAAUUGUUGGAAUGCCUGGAUUGGGCAAAACCACAUUGGCCAAUAUGGUAUUCAAAGAUCACAAACUUCAUUAUGAAAGUUUCACUCAUCUUUGGAUUCACGUAUCUAGCAACAUGAAUAGGAGACAAAUAUUCAUGGACAUUAUUAGUAAAUUAAACAAGGAAACCCGUGGUUGCAAGCAUAUGAGCGAUGAUCAAUUAGCCUCGAAUAUCAAGGAGUUUUUGAACGACAUCAAGUAUUUCAUUGUGAUGGAUGAUGUAUGUUCCACAAGGGAUUGGAAUCAUUUGAAAAUUGCUUUUCCCAACAACCAAAAAGGCAGUAGAAUAUUGGUAACCACGCGUACUUUUGAAGUGGCUAAUCAUGUUGAUUCUAAAAAUGCUCCACACGAAUUAAAAUAUUUAGAGCUUGAGGAAAGUUGGGAGUUAUUAGAAAAGAAAGUUUUCCGCAAGGAAGCUUGUCCUAAUCAUCUUGUAUCCACUGGGAGAAGCAUUGCAAAGAAAUGCAAUGGGAUACCACUAGCAGUAGUGGUGAUUGCUGGUGUCCUUGAUAAAAACAGCACAGCUGCGAAGUGGGAAGAGGUGGCUGAAGAUCCUUUUCAAUUAAUCAAUCAGGAAAACCAAAGCUACAAUGAACUGGUAUCACUGAGUUAUAAUCAGUUGCCUAACCACACAAAAGAUUGCUUCCUAUAUCUUGCAGCAUUUCCAAUGGGACAUGAAAUUCCCGUUCGGAAAUUGAUUUGCUUGUGGAUUGCAGAAGGAUUUAUUCCUUCGUCCUCCCACAACAUGGAGGGCACUGCUAAAAUAUAUUUGAAGGAUUUUGUGAAUAGGAAUCUGUUGAUGGUAGUGAAAAAAACCGCCGACGGUGAAAUAAAAUCUUGCCGUCUUCCUGACACAUUGCACGAAUUUUGCAAAUCCGAAGCUAUGAAGAAUAAUCUGUUCCAUGAGAUUGAUGGGACAAGAAUAGAAGGAAAUGAGAAUUAUCGUCGAUUGUGUAUCCGCUCCAACCUUAGAAGCUUCAUAGAUUCAGAGAGCAAGCCAUCUGGUGAGCAUAUCCGCUCUCUUUUAACAUCUACCAAAUAUGAAAUUCCAGAAGAGCACUUGGCAACUAUCCCAAAAUCCUACCCGCUUCUAAGAGUGUUUGAUGCGGAAGAGCUCAAAUUUGAAAUAUUGCCAAAAGAGUUUUAUGAGCUAUAUCACCUACGCUACUUGGCUGUCACAACUGACCUCAAACUCUUUCCAAAAUCAUUCACCAACCUAUGGAACACCCAAACUCUUGUAUUCAAUACCUCCCAAACUAGUGUUGAAGUUAAGGCUGAGAUAUGGAGGUUGACAAAACUAAGGCAUCUUUUAGCCAAUGCUUCUUUGAAAUUUCCUACUCCCAAAAAUUGCAGAGACAAGUGUGAGGAUUUACAAACUCUUUCCUCUAUAUCACCUAAGAGCUGCACAGAAGCUAUCUUUGACAAGAUGCCCAACCUUUUGAAAAUGGGUGUUCGUGGGGAUUUAGUAGAGCUUCUGGAGAUGAGGAGAGGAAUUUGCUUGUUUGACAAUAUUGGAAACCAGCUGCAUAAGCUGCAAAAUCUGAAGCUUGUUCAUGAAACUGCCAAUGCUCAGGGUAGCAAAUUAAGGAGCUUUCCGCGGGCCGAAAAAUUCCCGGCCAACUUAAGGAAGCUAACUUUAGCCAACACAUCCUUUGAGUGGAAGGACAUUUGCAUAUUGGGAUCCCUGGACGGGCUGGAGGUCCUAAAGUUGGAGGAAUUCGCGGUGAAGGGGGACUCUUGGGAACUAAACAACACUGUUUUCAAUAGUCUCCAGUUCUUGCGCAUUGGGAGAACCGACUUGGCAUACUGGACUGCUAAGGAGACUAGCUUUCCAGCACUGAAAAAGCUUUACCUCUUACACUGUACAAACCUUAAUGCACUCCCACUUGCCUUCAAGGAUGUGAAAGCUCUUAAGUUUAUGGAGUUGUAUUGUACCAACAGAAACGCUGCAACUUCUGCAAGAAAGAUACAAAACUUAAAGCCUGAAGAGCAUGGGCUACUUGAGCUCUCCGUCUAUCCUCCUGAUCACUCAGCUCAACACUGAUAGAUCGAUCGAUGAUGCAUUAACAAAGAGGUCAUAUCGAAUAACAUUUUCAGAUGUAUUGAUGGCUCCUCCGAUCGAUCUAAUGAGCGCAUCUUAUCACUAUAUAUAUAUAUCUUUGUGGCACUUUCUUUAAUUUGUUCUUCUUUUCUUCUCUUAUUAAAAUAAAGGCUGGCAUGCAUGUAUGCAUGCAUGAUGCAUCUGUGCCAUUGUACGUAAGGUUUCGUGUGUGGAGUGCUUGAAUCUGAAUUCCUGUGUGAAUGAAUGGUUUUCAUCUUUCUCCUAAACAUUUGGUCAAGUAUGUAUCUAAACUAUUCCAGUUUUAAUUUGCCUGUAUUUGGUUUUCUUUUGGGCUUGUAGCUAGCCACUAUCACAGUUUAAAAUUGUUGUUACAAUGUGUUCACUUGAAUGUUUGAACUCCCCAAGCUUUACAACUAAUAAUAAGGGAUAUUUUUCCUUUAAGC
Molecule: RNA transcript, 3095 nt
Organism: Ipomoea nil (Japanese morning glory)
Lineage: Eukaryota; Viridiplantae; Streptophyta; Magnoliopsida; Solanales; Convolvulaceae
Gene name: putative late blight resistance protein homolog R1A-10
Exons: 4
Source: RefSeq, a predicted model, not a curated record